UUGGUUAUAAAGUGUAAUUAUUUUGGACAGUUUUUGUUUAUGAAGUUAGUAAUGGAUAUGUAUUAUAAAAUCAGAAGGGAAUAUUUUGCUUUAGGGUAGGAAUGCACAAUUUAAGAUAUGUAAAUUAUGUAUUUUAAUUUAAAUGUUUUAGUAAUAUUUUAAGUGUUUAUUGUUCAAAAAAGGAGAAUAAUGUUUUUUUUAUAUUAAUUACUCUUCAUUACUAACCAUGAUUAAUAUUUCAGAGAAGACAAGAAGAAACAGAUAUAUGCUUCAAAUGUGAAGGAAAGUGACAGAGAGAAGACUUUGGAAAGAAAAAAAUCAAGAGAAGCUGAGAAGGCAAAAACUGAGAUUGCAAAGGAAAAAGAGAUAAGGUAUUACUAUUUGUUCUUUAUAUAAAUUAUUUGUUCAUUAUUAAAAAAAUUCAUAUUUGUAUUAAUAUAUGGUCACAUUAACUAGGCCACAAAGGGAAAUCCCAAAUGUUCCUCUUGCUUUCCGAUCUCCAUACAUGGUCAAGUACAAGGAUUUGUUCAAAGAUGAAGACACAAUGAACAAACUUGUAACAGACUAUGCUUAUAGUGGAAAAGAUCAAAGUGAGCUACUAUACUAUGAUGGAGUGAAUUCGAUCAAUAGGGAAGAGAUGAAAACUCUUGAAGGGGAUACAUUAGUAGUUAACAAUGUGA
This is a long non-coding RNA of Chenopodium quinoa (quinoa), 680 nucleotides long. RefSeq lists it as uncharacterized. The transcript is spliced from 3 exons. Lineage: Eukaryota; Viridiplantae; Streptophyta; Magnoliopsida; Caryophyllales; Amaranthaceae. The record is from RefSeq and is a predicted model, not a curated record.